Artibeus jamaicensis (Jamaican fruit-eating bat) is the source of this 130-nucleotide non-coding RNA. RefSeq annotates it as small Cajal body-specific RNA 24. The transcript has a single exon. The record is from RefSeq and is a predicted model, not a curated record. NCBI's taxonomy places the organism in Eukaryota, Metazoa, Chordata, Mammalia, Chiroptera, Phyllostomidae.
UGGACAUCUACUUUUCUUCAUUUUCUUCUUAAGUUGAACAAAACUGUUCAUAAAUGUUUUAGAGAAAUACACUAGCUUUCUAUUCACCUUUUGCAAGUAAAAAGAGUGGAUUAUUCCACUACUGACAUAC